Molecule: ribosomal RNA, 627 nt
Filed under: Theonella sp. 2 AS-2014
Lineage: Eukaryota; Metazoa; Porifera; Demospongiae; Tetractinellida; Theonellidae
Description: eukaryotic LSU rRNA
Rfam family: Eukaryotic large subunit ribosomal RNA
Source: RNAcentral
AUCGCCAGCGAAUUGUGGCCGGCAGAGGCGGAUGCACCCGAAGCGACUCCGUCGAAGUUGACCUGGAAAGGCACGUCGGAGAGGGUGAUAGCCCCGUGUGCGGCGGAGUCGCCGACGGCCGCUACCGUCUUCGGAGAGUCGGGUUGUUUGGGAAUGCAGCCCAAAGUGGGUGGUAAACUCCAUCUAAAGCCAAAUAACGGCACGAGACCGAUAGCGAACAAGUACCGUGAGGGAAAGGUGAAAAGCACUUUGGAAAGAGAGUUAAAAAGGCCGCGAAACCGUUGGGAGGGAAACGCAUGCAGCCGAACUGGCCCGCGUCGAGUUCAGGGGGCCGCCCUUCGUCGCGCCCGUCGUCGACACCCUCGCGGGUCUCCGGCGGACGGAGGCGUCGGGCUCCCCUGCACUCUCGGCGGUAGGGGCCGGCCAAGCGGGGCGGGCUCCGGGCGAAGAGCACUCGUCGGGCAGGUAGCGCAGCCGUCUCUGGCGGAGGCGAACUUACAGCCGGCGGUGCGGAGCGUUCGGGGCCCGCCGAGGAGAGAGGUGGCACUUCCACCCGUGCAGCGCAGGUCCGCCGCAUAGGCGGGCCGGGGCGCUCUCGACCGUUCGGCGAGCCGACCGCGUCACUGC